GGGUACCGGUACAGAGUCAAUGUGGAGGCUAUAUACAGGGUAUUACGGUACAGAGUCAAUGUGGAGGCUAUAUACAGGGGUACCGGUACAGAGUCAAUGUGGAGGCUAUAUACAGGGGUACCGGUACAGAGUCAAUGUGGAGGCUAUAUACAGGGUAUUACGGUACAGAGUCAAUGUGGAGGCUAUAUACAGGGUAUUACGGUACAGAGUCAAUGAGGAGGCUAUAUACAGGGGUUACGGUACAGAGUCAAUGUGGAGGCUAUAUACAGGGUGUUACGGUACAGAGUCAAUGUGGAGACCAUAUACAGGGGGUUACGGUACAGAGUCAAUGUGGAGGCUAUAUACAGGGGGUACCGGUACUAUGUCAAAGUGGAGGCUAUAUACAGGGGGUACCAGUACAGAGUCAAUGUGGAGACUAUAUACAGGGGGUACCGGUACAGAGUCACUGUGGAGGCUAUAUACAGGGUGUUACGGUACAGAGUCAAUGUGGAGACCAUAUACAGGGGGUACUGGUACUAUGUCAAUGUGGAGGCUAUAUACAGGGUGUUACAGUACAGAGUCAAUGUGGAGACUAUAUACAGGGGGUACCGGUACAGAGUCACUGUGGAGGCUAUAUACAGGGUGUUACGGUACAGAGUCAAUGUGGAGACCAUAUACAGGGGGUACUGGUACUAUGUCAAUGUGGAGGCUAUAUACAGGGGGUACCGAAACUAUGUCAAAGUGGAGGCUAUAUACAGGGGGUACCGGUACAGAGUCAAUGUGGAUGCUAUAUACAGGGGGUACCGGUACUAUGUCAAAGUGGAGGCUAUAUACAGGGGGUACCGGUACAGAGUCAAUGUGGAGACUAUAUACAGGGGGUACCGGUACUAUGUCAAUGUGGAGGCUAUAUACAGGGGGUACCAGUACAGAGUCAAUGUGGAGGCUAUAUACAGGGGGUAACGGUACAGAGUCAAUGUGGGGACUAUAUACAGGGGGGUACCGGUACAGAGUCAAUGUGGAGACUACAGUAUCAUGCCAGGUUUCAUGUGGACCCCAGGAAGAGUAGCUGACGCUUUGGCAGCGGCCAAUGGGGAUCCUAAUAAAUACCAAAAUACCAAUCAGAUGAGGGAGUGUCAUGACAGUCACAAUGUCACGACUUCUGCCGAAGUUGGUCCCUCUCCUUGUUCGGGCGGCGUUCGGCGGUCGACGCCAUCGGUCUUCUAGCCAUCGCCGCUCCACCUUUCAUUUUCCAUUUGUUUUGUCUUGUUUCCCCGCACUCCUGGUUCGCAUUCCCCCAUCAGACUAAAUGUAUAUUACCCUCUGUUUCCCCCAUGUCUGUGUGUGGAAUUGUUCUUUGUGCAGGGUGUUAUGCUACAGGCUGUCUUGC
Long non-coding RNA from Oncorhynchus tshawytscha (Chinook salmon), 1366 nucleotides. The record is from Ensembl. NCBI's taxonomy places the organism in Eukaryota, Metazoa, Chordata, Actinopteri, Salmoniformes, Salmonidae.